Molecule: long non-coding RNA, 1987 nt
Organism: Homo sapiens (human)
Lineage: Eukaryota; Metazoa; Chordata; Mammalia; Primates; Hominidae
Exons: 3
Source: RefSeq, a predicted model, not a curated record
GUGGCAGGGGAGCUGGGGGCUCCCCGGCGGAAGUAGCGCGAGAGGCUGGACAGCAGCGUGCUCUACAAGAAAAAAAGUGGCUUGGAGAGUCAAGAAAUGAAGGUGGAGCUUGGGAAGCUAGCGUGAGGUAUUCCAGGACCUCAUGGCAUAGGACGCUUACCUGAAGGCAAGCAGGCACUGACAAGAAGGCUCUGGCCUCGGGCUUGCCUCUCCUGGCACAGCCUCACCUCUUCCACUGCCGGAGGAGGAUAAGCAGCAGAGUGCACUUCAUGGAGCCAAGGCGAAGGCAGUUCACUGAGGCUGGAACUAGGAGCUGAAAGGAGACAGCACACCAGUCAGAAGUCAGUGGAAAGAUUCGCAUGCCAUCCACAGGGCACCUCCGGCCUCAUUGCCUUUCUUCCCCAGCAGUGAGCUCACAGGAGUGGAGUGGAGGGGGAGAAGCCAGGGUUGGCAUGGCAGCAGCAGAGCUCUGCUGACCCACUACAGUCUCAGGCCUCCCAGGCCAACGUGAGCCCUGUGACCUGACUAUUUGUGCGGCUGGCUGGCAGACUCAUGACCUCUGCUAUUUGACUUCAAAGACAACCUCCCUGGGAGAAAUGUAAAAUCUCCCAGACACACUUACUAAUGCUUUGGUUCCAUCAAGCACGUCAAGAAAGAGCUGGCGACGCACCACAGAGUCAGUCAGGUGCAUUAUAUCUGCCUGCAAAGGAACAGAAAAAGGUUUCAGCUGGGAAAAUUUUCCAGAUUUUAGAGGCCAAGAAACAUGGGGUCCUCUGCUAGGCAAUUAGUCAUUGGUAAAACAGUCUCCCUGAUUUAAAAUAGGGCUUAUAUAGGCCGGGCGUGGUGGCUCAUGCCUGUAAUCCUAACACUUUGGGAGGCUGAGGUGGGCGGAUCACGAGGUCAGGAGAUCAAGACCAUCCUGGCCAACACGGUGGAACCCUGUCUCUACUAAAAAUACAAAAAUUAGCCAGGCAUGGUGGCGCGCACCUGUAGUCCCAGCUACUCGGGAGGCUGAGGCAGGAGAAUUGCUUGAACCCAGGAAGCGGAGGCUGCAGUGAGCCGAGAUCGCACCACUGCACUCCAGCCUGGCGACAGAGAGAGACUCCGUCUUAAAUAAAUAAAUAAAAUAAAAUAGGGCUUAUAGUCUGGGCAACAUGAUGAGACCCUAUCUCAACAACAACAAAAAAUGUUUAAUUAGCUGGGUAUGGUGGUGCAUGCCUGUAGUCCUAGUUACUUGGGAGGCUGAGGUGGGAAGAUCACGUGAGCCCUGGAGGUUGAGGCUGCAGUGAGCCAUGAUUGCACCACUGCACUCCAACCUGAUCAACAUAGUGAGAUCCUGUUCCCUAAAAAAUAAAGUAAAAUAGGGCUUGAAGGCCCUGCUGUUCUUCUGUCAACCCUUAGAUAUGGUCAGAAUCAAGCCCAGGUUCACCUCCUCUUUGAGACUCUGUCCUCCCUCUGCUUAGAAUCCUUGAAAGGCUUCCCAGUGCCCGGGAAACGCAAACCAAGCUCUUCAACAUGGUCCAAAGACCCCACAGGAUCUGGUCCAACUGAUGUAGUAUCAGUCCCAUCUGUGCUCACUCUAGUCCAACCCUGCUUGCCUCUUUCAUGAACAUAUCAAGCUCUUUUCCACUGCUGGAACUUUGCACUUGCAAGUCCAUCUGCCUAGACUUCUCUCCUCCACGGGCUCCACCUGGAAGGCUUCUUCACACAUUCAGCUCUCAGCUGGGACAUCACCACUCAGAGAAGGCCACCCUGACUACUUCUAUCUCAUGUGUUCAUUACCACAGCACUUUAAUUAUUUCCUUCACAGCAAAUUAUCACUAUCUGAAACCAUAUUUUUUAUUGCUAAAUUUGUUUAUAAUUUACCUCCUCCAUCAUAGGGCACUCUCUAUGCGAUCAAAGAUCUUAUCUGCCUUAUUCACUGCUGCAUCUCAAUGCCUGGAAGCGUUCCACUAAUGCCAUUAAGAGAAUGAAUGGGUGACCAACA